AUUGAACGCUGGCGGCAGGCCUAACACAUGCAAGUCGAGCGGAGCGGCUGACGGGUGAGUCAUGCCUAGGAAUCUGCCUGGCAGUGGGGGAUAACGUCCGGAAACGGGCGCUAAUACCGCAUACUAUCAGAUUAGUCUAGGGCGGAUUAGCUAGUUGGUGGGGUAAAGGCUUACCAAGUCGACGAUCCGUAACUGGGCUGUGAGGAUGAUCAGUCACACUGGAAAUGAGACACGGUCCAGACUCCUACGGUAGGCAGCAGUGGGGAAUAUUGGAAAAUGGGCGAAAGCCUGAUCCAGCCAUGCUGCGUGUGUGAAGAAGGUCUUCGGAUUGUAAAGCACUUUAAGUUGGGAGGCGUUACCAACAGAAUAAGCACCGGCUAACUUCGUGCCAGCAGCCGCGGUAAUUC
This 407-nucleotide ribosomal RNA is filed under the name uncultured bacterium. Its description in RNAcentral is "partial 16S ribosomal RNA". It matches the Rfam family "Bacterial small subunit ribosomal RNA", at positions 30 to 526 of the family's 1533-position model. The record is from RNAcentral.